ACGCCUGUGAGUGUGCUAACUACGUGUAGAUUGUCAACGGUUAGGCGAAAGCUGUUGUAUUUCUAGCUUGUUAGUCAAUCAAUGCAGAAGCGCGGUUCCCGCGUGAAAACGAGUCGCUGUUUCGACCGCUACAGAAUUUUUUUGGAUAGUGUGCUUUCCUUUUGCGUGUGAAGUGACUUGUGUUGUAUUUAUCUAAUUUUAUAUUUAUGAGGGAGAUAGUGUUCAUGUAUAUUUGCUGGAUUUGACUGAAAAUUACAUAAAUAUUACAAGAAUACCUGGACUGACACCAGAAGAGGUUUUCAGAAUUUUGUAUGCUUUACCAGAAGAUGUAGAAGAUUCAGAUAUCGAUGAUGACUCUGAUGAUGAUUCUGAAUCACCAAAUACCUCUCAGAUUUUGGACGAAAAUAGUGAUAACGUUAUUGUUUCAAAUGAAGACAACUGUUUCAAUCUGACAAUAGACACUAGUGAAAUUGGGAACAUGUCUCCUUGUCAAGCAAGUGUAUCCGAUUCAACCCCAGAAACAGCUGCUACAACAUUUUCUUCUAGUGAAAAAAUGUGGAAUGAGAAUAUUUCCUAUGUUGAAAAUCGUCCACUGAAAUUAGAAGAAAGCGCAGAAAAUAUUGCAAAUUUCUCAAAGUCUGAUAAAGAAAUAAAAUAUUUCGAGUCUAUAUUUACAGAAGAGUUGUUGCUUCAUAUUUGCAAUCAGACGAACUUAUAUGCAAGGCAGGAAAGGUGUGCUGUGAAGGCAGGGAAGAAAACAACCAAAGUAUCUUCCAACUGGCAGGACAUUACUGUUCCUGAGCUAAAAGCUUUUUUGGGAAUGCUUAUUUAGAUGGGUGUUCAUCAGCUUCCACAACUCGGAAAUUAUUGGAGCAGUGAUCCUAUUCUUGGAGUAACUGCUAUCUCAUUGGUCAUGGCAAAGCUUCGAUACAAAAAAAUUGUUGAGAACCUGCAUUGCAAUGACAACAGCACGCGUGUCAAAAAAGAGAAGCCGGGUUAUGACAAGUUACACAAAAUUCGACCUGUCGUCAGAGUAAUAUCAAAUAAGCUUUGUAAAGUCUACGAACCAUCUUCUGUUUUAGCAGUUGACGAAUGUAUGGUGGCCUUCAAAGGACGGUCAACACUCAAACAAUAUAUGCCAAUGAAACCAGUGAAGCGUGGAUAUAAAGUGUGGUGCUUAGCUGAUGCUAGUCCUCAGUUCAUCAUAAAUUUCGACAUCUACAUUGGAAAAAGAGAUACAAAUGAUACAUCCGAAUUUACUUUGGGUGAAGAAGUUGUGCUUACUCUAACAAAGGCAAUGGAUGACAGCAAAAGGCUGGUAGCUUUUGACAAUUAUUUUACAACAGUACGAAUAAUGUAAGAGUUACAGUCUCAUGGACUUUAUGGCAUCGAAACUGUUCGUCCAAACAGGAAGGAUUUUCCUGAUAUGCUGAAAAAAAAUUCCAAGGUUAGCAGGGGAGAAUUCGAAUUUGCUGUCAGGUCAUGUGUUGCAGCAGUGAAGUGGCAGGAUAGUAAACCUGUUUGUAUAUUAUCAAAUUACCAUAAUCUCAAACACAUUACAACUGUUUUGAGAAGAAACAAAGAUGGAAGCAGAAGUGAAGUAUUCUGCCCAUUGGCUGUGGCAGAGUAUAAUAAAAUAAUGGGAGGAGUGGAUAGAUUUGAUCAGCUGCAUGAACGGUAUGCUGUAGGCCAUCGUUCAUGGAAGUGGUGGCACAGACUGUUUUUCUUUCUUGUAGAUUUGGCAGUUGUCAAUUCCUACAUUAUGUGGAAGCGACAGAAGCAGACCAGCUAACAUUUAGAUUGUACUUGGCAAGGCAGCUUAUCUCUGGCUUCUCAAGUCGUAAGAGAAGAGUAAGGCCCGUUCAUUUUCAAACACCAAAAAGAGGUGUGCCUGGAGUACCAGAUGAAGUUUGUCUGGAGAAAGUUGGAACUCACUUCCCUACAAAAGGUACAACAAACAGAAGAUGCCGCCAAUGUAGCACCAAGAACAAAGAAAAGAGAACAAAGAUAAUGUGUAGCAACUGUCGUGUACCUUUGUGUGUAGCACCAUGCUUCUAUAAGUUCCAUAGUACAUCACCUUUGUGAACUCAAAGGACAAUACGAACUAAUACAAUACAAAUAUAAAUGUAAUGUUUGAGUUUUUGCACAAAAAAAAUAAAGGAAAUAAAUUUUUUUAAAUUAA
Molecule: long non-coding RNA, 2182 nt
Organism: Schistocerca piceifrons (Central American locust)
Lineage: Eukaryota; Metazoa; Arthropoda; Insecta; Orthoptera; Acrididae
Exons: 2
Source: RefSeq, a predicted model, not a curated record